This 910-nucleotide ribosomal RNA is filed under the name Neofusicoccum batangarum. RNAcentral's name for it is "LSU rRNA". It matches the Rfam family "Eukaryotic large subunit ribosomal RNA", at positions 36 to 964 of the family's 3401-position model. The record is from RNAcentral. Lineage: Eukaryota; Fungi; Ascomycota; Dothideomycetes; Botryosphaeriales; Botryosphaeriaceae.
UAGCAUAUCAAUAAGCGGAGGAAAAGAAACCAACAGGGAUUGCCUUAGUAACGGCGAGUGAAGCGGCAAUAGCUCAAAUUUGAAAGCUGGCCCCUUCGGGGUCCGCGUUGUAAUUUGUAGAGGAUGAUUCGGCGAGGGCUCCCGUCUAAGUCCCUUGGAACAGGGCGUCAUAGAGGGUGAGAAUCCCGUAUGUGAUGGGCUGCCUUAGCCAUGUGAAUCUCCUUCGACGAGUCGAGUUGUUUGGGAAUGCAGCUCUAAAUGGGAGGUAAAUUUCUUCUAAAGCUAAAUACCGGCCAGAGACCGAUAGCGCACAAGUAGAGUGAUCGAAAGAUGAAAAGCACUUUGGAAAGAGAGUUAAAAAGUACGUGAAAUUGUUGAAAGGGAAGCGCUUGCAGCCAGACUUGUCCGCAGUUGCUCAGCUUGUCUCCUGACAGGCGUACUCUUCUGCGGCCAGGCCAGCAUCAGUUCGGGCGGUCGGAUAAAGACCUAGGGAAUGUAGCUCCUCUCGGGGAGUGUUAUAGCCCUGGGUGCAAUGCGGCCAGCCUGGACUGAGGAUCUCGCUUCGGCUAGGAUGCUGGCGUAAUGGCUGUAAGCGGCCCGUCUUGAAACACGGACCAAGGAGUCUAACAUCUAUGCGAGUGUUUGGGUGUCAAACCCAUGCGCGUAAUGAAAGUGAACGGAGGUGGGAACCCUCACGGGUGCACCAUCGACCGAUCCUGAUGUCUUCGGAUGGAUUUGAGUAAGAGCAUAGCUGUUGGGACCCGAAAGAUGGUGAACUAUGCCUGAAUAGGGUGAAGCCAGAGGAAACUCUGGUGGAGGCUCGCAGCGGUUCUGACGUGCAAAUCGAUCGUCAAAUUUGGGUAUAGGGGCGAAAGACUAAUCGAACCAUCUAGUAGCUGGUUCCUGCCGA